GGCACUAUCGUAUAGUGGUUAAUACACCUGACCUUCAACCAGGGAAGGCUGGUUCGAUUCCAGCUAGAGUCA
Molecule: non-coding RNA, 72 nt
Organism: Vanrija pseudolonga
Lineage: Eukaryota; Fungi; Basidiomycota; Tremellomycetes; Trichosporonales; Trichosporonaceae
Source: the annotation of a RefSeq genome assembly